GGUAAUGGCGCGAAAAAGUUGUACGUAAUAAGUGUCAUGUGAAAGAUAAGAGUCUAACACGUCUGAUGAGAUCAAAAUCCUUUAUCUCAAGAAGUACAUUGUCCAAGAAACUUAGGUACUUGGGAUUCAAUCAAUUUGCAAGUAAAUGUCAUCAUCGGACCCAUCACAUUUCUUUGUCACCGUUACAACUUGAUCUAACUGCAUGCACUAUCUGUCAGUGAGUGACUAGAGCUGUAAACAGAGCGAGCAGAAAACGAAUGCACACAAGGGAUACAUUUCUUUGAGAUGUCUAUAUGAUCUGUUGUCACCUCGUCAACAUUAGAUGAAAACUUUUAGACAUCAAUUUAUAAUCAAUAAAGUUCUCCAAUCUAUCUAGUUCCUUCAACUAAGAAAUGACUGCAAAGGAGGAUCUUUUCGUAUUGUUUAAGGAACUACGAAACGAUAAACUCUUAUAACGCAUUAAUGUUUCAACACACUUGUUUGAGGUGAUUAUUCUUGUUUACAUACUAUCAUUGGCAUGAUCAACUCAAUCGAUUUGCAAGGACAUAAAUGCCGUCAUCGGAUCCAUCACAUUAUUUCCUUGUCACCGUUACAACUUGAUUCAACUGCAGGCACUAUCUGUCAGUGAGUGAACAGAGCUGUGAACAGAGCGAGCAGGAAAUGAAUACACGCAAGGGAUACAUCUCUUUAAGAACGCUGUUUAAAUACGCCGAUUGAAACGUAAAUCGAGCACCGAGCCUGACGCGCAGCGAUAUCGCGGUACGCGAGAGUUCACGGACCAGAGAAUUCGUAUUGAUUGAAGUGUGGGCGCCAGCGAUGAUUUGAUAAACGCAAAGACGACGCCAGAGCAGGCGCACCAAGGCGUCCAGUCUUCACGUGUCACUGCGAUGGGGGAGAUAUUUGUACGUCAGGAGCAACGAACGUAUGUAUGUGUGAUACUACAAGUUAACUAAUGUUACAUUUAUCGGCGUGUUUUUGCGAAUAUAAUAGUAACACAAUGACAAAUAAUAAUUUCUAUAUCCUGAAGAAAAUUAUGAGAAACUAGAAGUGCAUAAAAUACGGACAUUUCUGUUUUUUGUCGCUAGAAGAAGAUAACAUCCAGCAAUAACUUCGCUUUACACUUCAUAAAUAUGUAAUUGCUUCAGUUCGAUCAUCAAUAAUUUCAAUUUCCAGCUUUCAGCAUUCGUUAACGUUGACGAAAAAUUCUAAUUUAUAUACAAAACAAAUCGUGCGUCCACGAAGCGUUGAAACGACGAUUAAUCAAGUAGAACAAAUCGAGGCGAUCGGCUCGAUUUUUUUACUGCAACGAGUUUUCACGGAUAAUUUUUUUUUACUUUUCCCGUUCGACGGACGGACGAUCGCGAUCGCAAACAGAGGAAGGUUCGUUCACCCUGCCGAUUAUGCGAAUACGCAAACGCGCUCGAUAGCGCAAUAACCCAGAUUAAUCGGGCUGCAUAAAUCAGUCGAACCGGCGCGGCGCGUCGCAUCGCCUCUUCGGUUGCGAAUAUUUUCGCGCUAUUUUCGCAAACGCCACUCUCGCCACGAUAAGCUCGUUUCUCCCGCCGCGCGUAAACGCCGGCUUAACUAUAUAAAUCAUGCUUAACCCUCUGACCUGUAUGUGUGAUGUA
Linepithema humile (Argentine ant) is the source of this 1628-nucleotide long non-coding RNA. RefSeq lists it as uncharacterized. The record is from RefSeq and is a predicted model, not a curated record. Lineage: Eukaryota; Metazoa; Arthropoda; Insecta; Hymenoptera; Formicidae.